Molecule: ribosomal RNA, 482 nt
Filed under: uncultured bacterium
Lineage: Bacteria
Description: partial 16S ribosomal RNA
Rfam family: Bacterial small subunit ribosomal RNA
Source: RNAcentral
AUUGAACGCUGGCGGCAUGAUUUACACAUGCAAGUCGAACGGUAACAGGCCGCAAGGUGCUGACGAGUGGCGAACGGGUGAGUAAUGCAUCGGAACGUGCCCAGUCGUGGGGGAUAACUACUCGAAAGAGUAGCUAAUACCGCAUACGAUCUAUGGAUGAAAGCGGGGGACCGUAAGGCCUCGCGCGAUUGGAGCGGCCGAUGUCAGAUUAGGUAGUUGGUGGGGUAAAGGCUCACCAAGCCAACGAUCUGUAGCUGGUCUGAGAGGACGACCAGCCACACUAGGACUGAGACACGGCCCAGACUCCUACGGGAGGCAGCAGUGGGGAAUUUUGGACAAUGGGCGCAAGCCUGAUCCAGCAAUGCCGCGUGCAGGAAGAAGGCCUUCGGGUUGUAAACUGCUUUUGUACGGAACGAAACGGCUCUGGUUAAUACCCGGGGCUAAUGACGGUACCGUAAGAAUAAGCACCGGCUAACUACGUG